This 99-nucleotide small nuclear RNA is filed under the name Tupaia belangeri (northern tree shrew). Lineage: Eukaryota; Metazoa; Chordata; Mammalia; Scandentia; Tupaiidae. The record is from RNAcentral.
GUAUCCCCAUCCAGCAAGCACACAUACUAACAUUGGAAAGAUUAGCCUGGCCCCUGUGCAAGGGAUGACUUGCAAAUUUGUGAAAUAUUCCAUUAAAAA